Molecule: ribosomal RNA, 499 nt
Filed under: uncultured bacterium
Lineage: Bacteria
Description: partial 16S ribosomal RNA
Rfam family: Bacterial small subunit ribosomal RNA
Source: RNAcentral
GACGAACGCUGGCGGCGUGCCUAAUACAUGCGAGUCGAGCGAAGUUUUUCUGGUGCUUGCACUAGAAAAACUUAGCGGCGAACGGGUGAGUAACACGUAAAGAACCUGCCUCAUAGACUGGGACAACUAUUGGAAACGAUAGCUAAUACCGGAUAACAGUAUUUCUCGCAUGAGAGAUAUUUAAAAGUUGGUUAUGCUAACACUACGAGAUGGCUUUGCGGUGCAUUAGCUAGUUGGUGGGGUAAAGGCCCACCAAGGCGACGAUGCAUAGCCGACCUGAGAGGGUGAUCGGCCACACUGGGACUGAGACACGGCCCAGACUCCUACGGGAGGCAGCAGUAGGGAAUCUUCCGCAAUGGGCGAAAGCCUGACGGAGCAACGCCGCGUGAGUGAAGAAGGAUUUCGGUUCGUAAAGCUCUGUUGUUAGGGAAGAAUGGAUAUGUAGUAACUAUACAUGUAAGAGACGGUACCUAACCAGAAAGCCACGGCUAACUACGUG